RNAcentral lists this ribosomal RNA (497 nucleotides) under uncultured bacterium. Its description in RNAcentral is "partial 16S ribosomal RNA". It matches the Rfam family "Bacterial small subunit ribosomal RNA", at positions 28 to 507 of the family's 1533-position model. The record is from RNAcentral.
GAUGAACGCUGGCGGCGUGCCUAAUACAUGCAAGUCGAGCGAACAGACGAGGAGUUUGCUGCUCUGACGUUAGCGGCGGACGGGCGAGUAACACGUGGAUAACCUACCUAUAAGACUGGUAUAACUUCGGGAAUCCGGAGCCAUAACCGGAUAAUAUAUUGAACCGCAUGGUUCAAUAGUGAAAGACGGUUUUGCUGUCACUGAUAGAUGGAUCCGCGCCGCAUUAGCUAGUUGGUAAGGUAGGGGCUUACCAAGGAAACGAUGCGUAGCCGACCUGAGAGCGUGGUCGGCCACACUGGAACUGAGACACGGUGCAGACUCCUACAGGAGGCCGCAGUAGGGAAUCUUCCGCAAUGGACGAAAGCCUGACGGAGCACCGCGGCGUGAGUCAUGAAGGUCUUCGGAUCGUAGAGCUCUGUUAUUAGGCAAGAAGAAAUGUGUAAGUAACUAUGCCCGUCUUGACGGUACCUAAUCAGGAAGCCACGGCUAACUACGUG